CCAAUAGCGUAUAUUAAAGUUGUUGCAGUUAAAAAGCUCGUAGUUGAAUUUCGGGGUUAGUAGGUUGGUCAUGCCUCUGGUAUGUACUGGUCUCACUGAUUCCUCCUUCCUGAUGAACCUUAAUGCCAUUAAUUUGGUGUUUUGGGGAAUUUGGACUGUUACUUUGAAAAAAUUAGAGUGUUUAAAGCAAGCUAACGCUUGAAUACAUUAGCAUGGAAUAAUGAAAUAGGACGUUCGAUCCUAUUUUGUUGGUUUCUAGGAUUGACGUAAUGAUUAAUAGGGAUAGUUGGGGGCAUUAGUAUUCAAUUGUCAGAGGUGAAAUUCUUGGAUUUAUUGAAGACUAACUACUGCGAAAGCAUUUGCCAAGGAUGUUUUCAUUAAUCAAGAACGAAAGUUAGGGGAUCGAAGACGAUCAGAUACCGUCGUAGUCUUAACCAUAAACUAUGCCGACUAGGGAUCGGAUGAUGUUAAUUUUUUAAUGACUCA
Molecule: ribosomal RNA, 486 nt
Filed under: uncultured Glomeromycotina
Lineage: Eukaryota; Fungi; Glomeromycota
Description: SSU rRNA
Rfam family: Eukaryotic small subunit ribosomal RNA
Source: RNAcentral